CCCUUAGAUGUUCUGGGCAGCACGCGCGCUACAAUGGUCUUCGCAAACGGAUGCAUUCUCGAAGGAGAAUGCCAAUCUUGGAAUCUAUGCCUUGGUCGGGACAGUUGCUUGCAAUUUUUCGACUCGAACCAGGAAUUCCUUGUAAUCGUGAUUCAUCACAUCACGAUGAAUACGUCCCUGCCCUUUGUACACACCGCCCGUCGCUCCUACCGAUCGAAGAGUUAGGUGAAUUGUUUUGAUCGAUAAGAUUUGACUAUGGUCAACUCUCGUUGUGAAAUUCUGUGAAUCUGACUGUUUAGAGGAAGGAAAAGGCGCAACA
Molecule: ribosomal RNA, 319 nt
Filed under: uncultured eukaryote
Lineage: Eukaryota
Description: partial 18S ribosomal RNA
Rfam family: Eukaryotic small subunit ribosomal RNA
Source: RNAcentral